This is a long non-coding RNA of Anneissia japonica, 848 nucleotides long. RefSeq lists it as uncharacterized. NCBI's taxonomy places the organism in Eukaryota, Metazoa, Echinodermata, Crinoidea, Comatulida, Comatulidae. The transcript is spliced from 3 exons. The record is from RefSeq and is a predicted model, not a curated record.
UCAAUGUCAAAUUAAAAUGUAGUUUGUAUUUUAACGUAUAAUCAACAUUUAGAAUGUUAUUUUUUUCAACCAAGUUUAAAUUUCUUUAACUCAACCUCAACUUGAUAUGAAAUUUCAUAGAAAUAAUUGUACAAGAUUUAUUAAAGUUUACCUCCAUGGUGGGGUAUAAAAAAAACUCAUAGGCCUAUUAUGAGAGCAUAUGAUCUUUAAUCAUUAUGGUAAUUACAUUGGUUCUCUGUCCUUGAAAGUGUGGCAAGUAAUGGGCUAAUCGGAUUAGGUCAUUAGGUACAGACCAAUCAGAAACAAAUGCUCAUGUUUUGAAGUAUGUAUCAGUUGCUGUAAAGCUGUCUUCAUACACAGUUUACAUACUAAAGAAUUUCACCAUUAUCAAAUAAAUGGUUUUCAAUCCAUUGACAGGAAGCCAUGUUUGUUGCAAUAUAUUGUUUGUGGUAGACACUCGGAAGAAACCGACUAUUGAAUGUGUAUUAUUUGUCUCCUGGUACAAAACUGAUGGAAGAGCAGCCAUGAUGAAGCAGUAAAAAGGUUUUUGGAUACCUUGCUUCAAUACCUCUGGUCGGACAAGAAAAGACCUGGCUAAGGAGUAGAGCUUCAAAUAAUUUAUCACCAAGAAAGUUACUGAUUUAAUCCGAAUCCUGUGACGCGAAAGAUUCUUAAUUAAGCUAAGUGUGCAAUAUUAGGUCAGUUAAGACGACAGUAAUGCAUAGGUAUAUUUUGAAAUCUAGACAUAGUAGCUGUUGUUAUAUUAUUGAUUUAAACAUGCCUGUAUAGUACAAUGCAUACUAUUUUAUGUUUUCUGCAAGUUUCAAUUAAAGAAAAAUGGUCAAGUA